UCUUAUGGAUAAACAAGGAAAGUGAUUUCUUAUAUUGUAAUCUACUCCUGCUGAAGAUGCUCUGAA
RNAcentral lists this microRNA precursor (66 nucleotides) under Marmota monax (woodchuck). The record is from RNAcentral. Lineage: Eukaryota; Metazoa; Chordata; Mammalia; Rodentia; Sciuridae.